GGAGAGGUGUCCGAGCUGGUUCAAGGAGCACGACUGGAAAUCGUGUAUCCGCCGAAAAGCGGAUCGCGGGUUCGAAUCCCGCUCUCUCCG
This 90-nucleotide transfer RNA is filed under the name Candidatus Raymondbacteria bacterium RifOxyA12_full_50_37. RNAcentral's name for it is "tRNA-Ser". It matches the Rfam family "tRNA". From Rfam's summary of the family: Transfer RNA (tRNA) molecules are approximately 80 nucleotides in length. RNAcentral also lists the same sequence under 6 other names. The record is from RNAcentral. Lineage: Bacteria; Candidatus Raymondiibacteriota.